AACGUGACUAUAGGUACUCUAUGAUCACACUUUCAUUAGUUUGUGUGACAGUGUUUGGUUACCCUCAAAAUUCACCCCAAAAAUUUCAAUUCUCUCUGCUAAUCUCUCCAUCUUUCAGUCAGCCUACUCAUACCCAUUACUCACUGAGACACGCGUCACUAAUCCUCCCUCAUAUAAAAACCCUAACCCAUCUUCCUCACACAAGCCUGGACAGGGAGAGACAGAUCUGGAGAAGAAUCAGGAGAGAGAGUGAUCCGCCCACACUCCGGCAGCAGCCGGCAUCGAUGACGACUGCGAUGAUAGGGGUAAACAACAAUGAAGACCAUCGUCCAUUGAGACGAUAGUGGUUCCGGCGAAUGGUACGGUGGUUAUUGGUGGCGCAUCGGACCAGAUCUCCGGUGACACUAGAUAAUCCCUGACGAAAGUACUUGGUAAUGAGACAUGUAUUCUUAGAGUUAAUCUCAAUGUGAUGGUUGCAAACAUAAAGUAAAGAAACUUCUUCAAAUAAUUGAUGGUAUUCUCUUUUUUUUGUCAUUUUUUCCUUAAAUUAUUCUGUACUUUGAAAUAAUGAUAUGACGUUAUGACUCUUAGGGCUGUUCAAAAAACUCGUAGCUUGUGUCUCGCUCGAAGCUUGCUCAAAAAAAGCUCCGUUGUAAACGAGCCGAGCCCUAGCUAGACACGGCUCAGCUCGUGAGAUUUAUUAUACACACACAUGAUUUUUAAUAGUGUUAUAUGUAUAUUGUUCAUCAUCUGUAUCUUCGUUUUUGUUACAUCUCCUAAAAGUGCAUUAUAUGGUUGUAAGAGCAAACUUUAGAUGAAGCACUUGAAACCGAUUGUGAAUGAAGCAAUCCAUGCAUUUCCAAUAAAAACAACUUAAAUAUUAUGCAAUGGCCAUGCAGAUUCAGAAGUUGAAUCAUUAACCCAAACUGGUUUUGAACCCAAAUCGAACCCGAUUAGUUGAACCCGGUAUGGACACGAACCAUAGGGUUGAAAUCUGUUCGUAACCCAUACUUUCAAACCAGUCAUAACCCUGGUUUCAAACCGGUCAAACCCGAUCCCGAACUGGUUUGGACAAAAACCUGAUUUGACCAUCUUUGACCCAACCUGAACUGGUUUCAACACCAACCAGUUUAGGCUCAGAACUCGAUUUCUGCAUGACUGCACCUGUAGUCAGAGCGCUCUGUUAACUAUGGGGUCACUUUCACUUAUUGGCUGUUGUAACCGGACAAUAUAAAACUAAAAACAGUUGCUAUUAUUAUAGUUAUUGAACAAAUGCUCUUCCUUGCGAGUUAAAUCUUGAUUAGUUAUUAAGUUAUUCCAGCUGAAGUUAUGAAGUCCUUGAACAUUCCGAAGGGAGUAAGACGUAAGAGCAUUAAACACUCAUAGGUAACCUCCUUUCACUUUUUUGGGCUUUAUUUCAUCAAAAUUUUGUUCUACUUUUAAUUUUUCGGAUCAUUAAUUUAUGGAUAUCAAGUCAAAAUGAACUUUGUUUAUUACAAGCUGUGGUGUAUUAUAACACCAUGGUUACAGGAACCACGGUGAUGUUUUGGAGGCAGUGAAUUGCUUUUAUCUUGUUAAGUUUUCUCUUUUAGCUUAUACCCAACUAGUUUGUGAUAGAAAACUAGAUCAUCACGUAGUACUGACUUUUGAGAACAAAAUGUUUUCAGAGAGCAUUUGUUUUUGGAAAUACCUGAUAUAACCUGAUUUAGGUUGUGCAUAACAUAAAUACAUAAUCAAUCAUUUGGUCUCAUUUUGUAGGUAUUGAUUACUUGUCAGUUGCUGCACUCUUUGAGCUAACAACGUAAUCAGUAAAUUUACUCUGAGUUAUGUGGCAAUAUUAACUCCCUUGACUAUCUAUUUAUUAGCGUUAUUUUUUACUCGCGAGCCGAGCACGAGCUUCAAAAAACAUGACGAGCCGAGCUCGAGCCCAGUCAAGCUCGGGCUCGACCCGGCUCGUUUACAUAUCCUAGUUCAAAGUGUCGUACUGUGAGAUCUGCCUCUCCGUGAUGUGGGUCAGCAUCCUCUCUAUCAUUCUGCCUUGUUUUCGCUGUUCUUUUAAUUUAAACGGUCACGAACCGCAUUUUUUACAUCAUCUCUAGCACUGCGAGAUCUGCCUCUCUGUGAUGUGGGUCAGCAUCCUCAUGAAACCUAGUGAAGGUUGGAUCUUUUGCUAGAGGAUUUUUUCUUCUUCACUCACAGUGCUUAAAUUCAAACUACCAUGCCAGCAGGCCCAGUCAACGCUGUGAUUUUUUUGUUGGGAGGAAGAAUGGUUAAGAGUCGCUAUAGAGGGAGCAGAUCGCUAAUCGAUAGAUGAUACUGCAACUCCAAGCGACCAUUAACAGAGACCUAACACUACCCCGUGAGCUUCCCCCUACAUAGAAGUAUUUCUUUGCACCAUCGGCGAUGUGGAGGUCAGUAACACAUUUGAUCGGAGGGCACGCAAUGUUGUAGCUGGAGUUGAGGUGAGAUGUGCAUUUUGUUUUUACGGGUUAAUUACUUUCAAGUUAAUUAAUUUUAUGACAUACUUACAUGUUAUCUUUGACUUUAUUCUUUUGACAUACUGAUAGGUUAUCUUUGACUUUAUUUUUCUUACAUGCUAACAAGUAUGACUUUCAGUUGAGAGGUGUUAUCUUCCUUUAUAAAGAACAUACACAAUGAGUUCUCUAUCCAUCAAUUCAGUUUGAUAAAACAUUAUCCGAAACAAAAUUGGAGGCUGCUACUGUUUCUAUUCUUUUAAAGGAGUCGAACUCAACAGUUCACCGUGCUUCUAUCAUCAUCCAAUAGCAUCAGAGGAUCGGCAACCCUUCUCAUCAAGCAGUGGUGCAGCUUCAACAGGGCUUCUUGUUGCUGGCACAAAAUACCGUGGGGAAUUCGAAGAAAGAUUAAAGAAGUUAAUGGAAGAAACAACACAAGUGAUGAUAUCAUUCUUUUUAUUGACGAGGUUUACACUUUAAUUGGGGCUGGAGCAGCAGAAGUUGCUAUUGAUGCUGCUAAUAUAUUAAAAUGAGCCCUUACCAUAGGUGAAUUGCAGUUAAGCAGUUAUAUUUUUCAUAAUUUGGUACUAAACUUUGCUUCAUGUUACAUAUAUUCAGUUUGUUUUUUAAAGUUGUGUAUCAAAGUUACCAAGGUAAUUGUUAUUGGAAUGGCUGGACUGCUUGAUUAUUUAUUUGUAUAACAUCAUUUUUUUCAUGUUUC
Molecule: long non-coding RNA, 3195 nt
Organism: Helianthus annuus (common sunflower)
Lineage: Eukaryota; Viridiplantae; Streptophyta; Magnoliopsida; Asterales; Asteraceae
Exons: 6
Source: RefSeq, a predicted model, not a curated record